Molecule: ribosomal RNA, 468 nt
Filed under: uncultured bacterium
Lineage: Bacteria
Description: partial 16S ribosomal RNA
Rfam family: Bacterial small subunit ribosomal RNA
Source: RNAcentral
GACGAACGCUGGCGGCGUGCUUAACACAUGCAAGUCGAACGGAAAGGCCCUGCUCUUGUGGGGUGCUCGAGUGGCGAACGGGUGAGUAACACGUGAGUAACCUGCCCCUGACUUUGGGAUAACUUCAGGAAACUGGGGCUAAUAUCGGAUAGGAGCUCCUGCUGCAUGGUGGGGGUUGGAAAGUUUCGGCGGUUGGGGAUGGACUCGCGGCUUAUCAGCUUGUUGGUGGGGUAGUGGCUUACCAAGGCUUUGACGGGUAGCCGGCCUGAGAGGGUGACCGGCCACAUUGGGACUGAGAUACGGCCCAGACUCCUACGGGAGGCAGCAGUGGGGAAUAUUGCACAAUGGGCGGAAGCCUGAUGCAGCAACGCCGCGUGCGGGAUGACGGCCUUCGGGUUGUAAACCGCUUUCGCCUGUGACGAAGCGUGAGUGACGGUAAUGGGUAAAGAAGCACCGGCUAACUACGUG